UCUUGAAGUUAUGCGCCUGUUAAGGCUAAACUGAAAGAACAGAUUUGGUUACUGCGCUCCUCAUAAGCCAGUUACCACGGUUCAAAGAGUUGCAGCUCUGAGAACCUUCGAAAAACCGCCUUGCUGGGCGGUUUUUUCGU
This 140-nucleotide non-coding RNA is filed under the name Escherichia coli. Lineage: Bacteria; Pseudomonadati; Pseudomonadota; Gammaproteobacteria; Enterobacterales; Enterobacteriaceae. The record is from RNAcentral.